Paramuricea clavata is the source of this 1440-nucleotide non-coding RNA. The record is from the annotation of a GenBank genome assembly. Lineage: Eukaryota; Metazoa; Cnidaria; Anthozoa; Malacalcyonacea; Plexauridae.
GUGUUAUACCAAGAUCCAGCCCAUUACCAGAUAUUACAUCGCAAUAUUUCAGACAUCGUAAGUAAUAAGAAAAUUAAUAAAUUCUGCUUGCCUUUCUCACGUUUUAUUUAGGUACUUUCGAAGAGUAAUUUCCCACUAGUUUUAGUGCGGGUGCAUUUGAAAGGAGAUUUGAACUGACCAAUAAUAUUCUGUGGCAACCAUCUUAGCUUAGCUUGUUUCUUUCUUGAUAUAUUUCACAACAUAUAAUAUGCAAAUUACCUGCAAUAUGGCAUGAAAUUACAUAAUACCUUUCUGCAUGAAGAAACUUUAUAACUCUUAUGGAUGAUUGAUUCAAGUUUUUCGACGUACUGUACAGCAUUUUGACUAUGUGGGCAUAACACAGAUAUGAGCAGUUUCAUGACUUCGAUACAAGAUUUAUGAUGCAAUGUUACAUGCGUAGUGAAAAUAAUUUGCAUUCUAGAAAUACAUGUAUGCAGCAACGUCGCGCCUUUCUUAACAGGUAAAAUAUAGAAAUUCCACGCGAAGCAUUUGACGAUUAAAACAACAGUGGUUGCCAUGGUAACAUGAAAAUGAUAUUUUGGGAAAAUAUUAGCCUAAUUACGAGAAAAUUUUUAAAUAUUGUUACUGCUUUAAUUCAAACUUUAGCUACAACACAGUCUAUUAAGAUAUGAUGGUCUCGAAGACCGAGAAACUUCAAAGCCACAAAAUAGAAGACCCUUGAUUCAUGUAGAACUAUUACCUCACCAUGCACAAAUCCUUUGUCUCCACUUCAUUUAUGGCUGCACGUUUCAUCUCAGCUAUCCCUAUUGUACGAUUACUUAAUUGUACGAAAAUACAAUGAGGUCAAUCACUGUGACCGUGCAUCGAAUUAACAUAUACUCAGACAAAAACAUAUAUGACAAACACUUCUGUUUAGUUUUCAGACAAUCAUAUCUUGAUAGACUAUGGCUACAAAAAUAUGCUGAUAAUAAGUUUCAUGCUGCUUUUUCUGACUACUGGAAUUUGCCUGAAAUAAAAUUAUAUUGUGAAGUACAUAUCCUCAAUUAUUAAAUAUUCUUCAAGCGUAAGAAGUAGUUGGAUAACCAACAAUUAAUGUCAUACCAAUAUUUUCCAUUGUAUAGAGUUAAGUCAAAAGAGAGGUCAUUCAUUAUCGUGUGGAUAGUGAUCAACAAUAAAUCAUUUUUGCACUCGUUGUCGGUGUUGACUUGAACGAUUUCCAUGAGGAGAGACACGUUUCUUUAUUGCACUUACUUAGCCUACUAAAGCCGUACGUGUCAGCGGCAUACUAUCUAUCUUGCCUGUAACCUUCCAGAUUAAGUGGAUUACUAAACUAUCAGUUAGUUCCGUGUUAGAACUUUGAAAUAACGUUAAACGUAAACAUUAACGUAAACAUUAUUACAUUAUUAUGAUUGUUACAUUGUUACAUUGUUACAUUAUUAC